RNAcentral lists this small RNA (1232 nucleotides) under Rattus norvegicus (Norway rat). RNAcentral's name for it is "uncharacterized LOC102554214". Lineage: Eukaryota; Metazoa; Chordata; Mammalia; Rodentia; Muridae. The record is from RNAcentral.
UAAAAUAAAUUGUCUAGGCUGAUGAGGUGACCCAGCAGACUAAGGCUGAACCUGGUGACCGGAUCCCGAAACCAAUGAGGAAGGAGAGACAGGAUUGUAGCAGAUUGUCCUCUGAUGUCCACAUACAUGCUAUGGCAUGUGCACUCAGGCAUGAACAUGCAUACGACAUGAGGCGGUGCACAAGCAUGUGCACACACAUUUAUGGGGGGAGGGGGAGGCAGUGAAUGAAUAUAUUUCUUUAUGAUUGAUGAUGGGCCUGUGUUUGACUUCUAUGCCUAUUUUAUGCACCUGUAAGCCCAGCGACACAAAAAUACCUUGUUUAAAUGACAUAAAUGUGUAGAGGGUGGAAACAUGUUCAAAAAGUCUUGGUUUAAGGCUCAGGGAACAUCCCUGAAGAGGAGGGUUGUCCCCAGAGAUCAGAGAGGACCCAAGUGAAACAGCAUCUUCUGCAUAUAACAGUAUGGCCACAGUCAUGAAUCCAUACAAGACCACACAGGAGCAAGCCAAUCAACAAUGUAGCACGGAUGGGAGGGGUCAUGAGCCCCCUAGCUGAGCAGCUAUUCACAGGGGUCUUCUGGGAAAUCGAGAGUCACCUUUCAACAGCGUGGCCCUGCAACCUGCAAUGUUCCACUCAGCGUAUUUCCUGUUGAUGUCUUUGACAUCACACUAGCCAUUGCUGUCCUGCACCACAUCAGCAUCCUCCUCAGAGAGCCAACACUGAGCACAGAAAGGACCCUGAUCUUUGUGGCUGCUGUCCUUACUACCACCUCCUCAGGACAGAAGCCAGAAUUAGAGCAGCCGCAGCAGCAGAGGAAUUCAACAGGGAGGGAGCUGCUGUGUCCCGCGGCCUCCAUCAGCUAGACACCACCCUACUCAAGACAGAGGCAUAGCGCUGAUGAACCAGAGAAUUGUCACGUAAGGGACAAGAUCCAGUGUACUCUCCGACAUGGAGGAAGAGCGUCUCUGGCCCUCCUGCCUGCUCCUGAGACUCUUCUUCCUUCUGGGUCGCCCUGUCAGCCUCGACAGGAGGGGCUUUGUCUUGUCUGACUGUAUGCAGUUUUGUCCUUUUGGUUAUUGUCUUUUGGAGGUCUGCUCUUCUGUGGAGAGAAACAGAAGGAGUGGAUCUGGGCAGAGGUGUGGGGGAGCUGGGAGGAGUGGAGGGAGAGGAAACUGUGGUCAGGGUGUGUUGUUGUAUGAGAGAAGAAUCUAUUUUCAAUAAAUAAUAACAAGUA